This 1532-nucleotide ribosomal RNA is filed under the name Anaerobacillus sp. HL2. Its description in RNAcentral is "bacterial SSU rRNA". It matches the Rfam family "Bacterial small subunit ribosomal RNA". The record is from RNAcentral. Lineage: Bacteria; Bacillati; Bacillota; Bacilli; Caryophanales; Bacillaceae.
UUUAUGGAGAGUUUGAUCCUGGCUCAGGACGAACGCUGGCGGCGUGCCUAAUACAUGCAAGUCGAGCGGAGAAUGAAAAGCUUGCUUUUCAUUCUUAGCGGCGGGACGGGUGAGUAACACGUGGGCAACCUGCCCUGUGACUGGGAUAACCUCGGGAAACCGAAGCUAAUACCGGAUAACUUAGGAGUCACAUGGCUCUUAAGUAAAGUUGGGUUUACCUAACACUACAGGAUGGCCCGCGGCGCAUUAGCUAGUUGGUAGGGUAACGGCCUACCAAGGCGACGAUGCGUAGCCGACCUGAGAGGGUGAUCGGCCACACUGGGACUGGAGACACGGGCUCUCUGGGAGCAGCAGUAGGAAUCUUCCUGUGGACAAAAGUCUGACGGAGCAACGCCGCGUGAACGAUGAGGCCUUCCGGGUCGUAAAGUUCUGUUGUUAGGGAAGAACAAGUACCGUUCAAAUAGGUCGGUACCUUGACGGUACUGGCGAGAAAGCCACGGCUAACUACGUGCCAGCAGCCGCGGUGGCGUAGGUGGCAAGCGUUGUCCGGAAUUAUUGGGCGUAAAGCGCGCGCAGGCGGUUUCUUGAGUCUGAUGUGAAAGCCCCCGGCUCAACCGGGGAGGAUCGUGGAAACUGCGGGGAGCUUGAGUGCAGAAGAGGAGAGUGGAAUUCCAUGUGCUUGGUGAAAUGCGUAGAUAUAUGGAGGAACACCAGUGGCAAAGCGUCUCUGGUCUGUAACUGGCGCUGAGGCGCGAAAGCGGUGGGGAGCAAACAGGGAUUAGAUACCCUGGUAGUCCACGCCGUAAACGAUGAGUGCUAGGUGUUAGGGGUUUCGAUGCCCUUAGUGCCGAAGUUAACACAUUAAGCACUCCGCCUGGGAGUACAGGCCGCAGUUGAAACUCAAAGAAAUUGACGGGGCCGCACAAGCAGUGGAGCAUGCGGUUUAAUUCGAAGCAACGCGAAGAACCUUACCAGGUCUUGUUUAUCCUUGACAUCCCCGAGAUAGGGCUUUCCCUUCGGGGGACAUAAGUGACAGGUGGUGCAUGGUUGUGGUGAGCAAUUGUCGUGAGAUGUUGGGUUAAGUCCACCAGCGAGCGCAACCCUUGAUCUUAGUUGCCAGCAUUCAGUUGGGCACUCUCAGGUGACUGCCGGUGAUAAACCGGAGGAAGGUGGGGAUGACGUCAAAUCAUCUUCCCACCCCUUGUUACUGGGCUACACACGUGCACUACAAUGGAUGGUACAAAGGGCUGCGAGACCGCACGAGUUAAGCCAAUCCCAUAAAGCCAUUCUCAGUUCGGAUUGUAGGCUGCAACUCGCCUACAUGAAGCAGAUGCUAGUAAUCGCGGAUCAGCGUACCGCGGUAGAUACGUUCAGGCCAACUGGCACACACCCGCCCGUCACACCACGAGUUUGCACCCGAAGUCGGUGGGGUAACGCAAUUUGCGAGCCAGCCGCCUAAGGUGGGACAGAUGAUUGGGGUGAAGUCGUAAUAAGGUAGCCGUAUCGGAAGGUGCGGCUGGAUCACCCUCCUU